Molecule: ribosomal RNA, 465 nt
Filed under: uncultured bacterium
Lineage: Bacteria
Description: partial 16S ribosomal RNA
Rfam family: Bacterial small subunit ribosomal RNA
Source: RNAcentral
CCUACGGGAGGCUGCAGUAGGGAAUCUUCCACAAUGGGCGAAAGCCUGAUGGAGCAACGCCGCGUGGGUGAAGAAGGUCUUCGGAUCGUAAAACCCUGUUGUUAGAGAAGAAAGUGCGUGAGAGUAACUGUUCACGUUUCGACGGUAUCUACCCAGAAAGCCACGGCUAACUACGUGCCAGCAGCCGCGGUAAUACGUAGGUGGCAAGCGUUAUCCGGAUUUAUUGGGCGUAAAGGGAACGCAGGCGGUCUUUUAAGUCUGAUGUGAAAGCCUUCGGCUUAACCGGAGUAGUGCAUUGGAAACUGGGAGACUGGAGUGCAGAAGAGGAGAGUGGAACUCCAUGUGUAGCGGUGAAAUGCGUAGAUAUAUGGAAGAACACCAGUGGCGAAAGCGGCUCUCUGGUCUGUAACUGACGCUGAGGUUCGAAAGCGUGGGUAGCAAACAGGAUUAGAUACCCGCGUAGUC